Onychomys torridus (southern grasshopper mouse) is the source of this 462-nucleotide non-coding RNA. Lineage: Eukaryota; Metazoa; Chordata; Mammalia; Rodentia; Cricetidae. The record is from the annotation of a RefSeq genome assembly.
AUGGGGUUGGGGCUGAACUGGGUUUUCUUGGUUGUUCUGUUAAAAGGUGUCCAUUGUGAGGUGCAGCUGGUUGAGUCUGGUGGAGGAUUGGUGCAGCCUAAGGGGUCACUGAAACUCUCCUGUGCAGCCUCUGGAUUCACCUUCAGUGACUAUGCCAUGUACUGGGUCCGCCAGGAUCCAGGGAAAGGUCUCGAAUGGGUUUGUCGCAUAAGAACUAAAAGUAAUAAUUAUGCAACCUAUUAUGCUGAUUCUGGGAAAGACAGAUUCACCAUCUCCAGAGAUGAUUCCCAAAGCAUUCUCUACCUGCAAAUGAACAAUCUUAAAAUUGAGGACACAGCCACGUAUUACUGUACUAGGGACACAGUGAUGAGUCUUCAGUAUGAACUCAAGCAAGAAUCUUCUUACCAGAUACCCAUGACCAGCAGGAGGCACUCAGCACGGGCGGAGCCCAUGUCAUUUUAG